Molecule: ribosomal RNA, 548 nt
Filed under: Bolitophila occlusa
Lineage: Eukaryota; Metazoa; Arthropoda; Insecta; Diptera; Mycetophilidae
Description: eukaryotic LSU rRNA
Rfam family: Eukaryotic large subunit ribosomal RNA
Source: RNAcentral
AAACCGCAUAGGGGUUAAGCCCGAUGAACCUGAAUAUCUGAACUGGGAAAUUCAAUGCUAUUUAGUAAUUUAUCUAAACAAUAAACGAACAAUGGUAUGCACUUCUCUCAUAGUAGGACAUUGCGAUCCAUUAGUGGUUUAUGAUAAAGCCCGCAUGGUAAGUUUGUUCUAUCUGUGGCACUUGUGUCAUAUGAAUAAAGCCGUUGCGGAUCCUUAAUAAACAACUGAUGGAGCUUAAAAAUCAUGCAACCAUGCAAAUGUAUUACGGUCCAUGUAUUUAUAUGUGGAUGCAGUGAUAGCAUGUAUUUGAUUAGCAAUGCGAUAGAUUUGGGAUACCUUCGGGACCCGUCUUGAAACACGGACCAAGAAGUCUAACAUGUGUGCGAGUCAUUGGGUAUAUGUUGAAACCUAAAGGCGUAAUUAAAAUAACUAUUAUGGGAUUACAAGUGAUUUAAAAUAUUGCUUCUCCAUCCCGGGGCGUUCUAUACGAACAUGGUUUAAGCAAUUAGAUCCUCUGUUCAAGAGCGUACCUUGAGCAUACAUGCUGU